GACGAACGCUGGCGGCGUGCUUAACACAUGCAAGUCGAACGGAAACGCCCUGCCUUUGGGGGCUGCUCGAGUUGCGAACGGGUGAGCAACCCGUGAGUAACCUGCCCCUGCCUUUGGGAUAACCUAAGGAAACUGGGGCUCAUACCGGCUAGGAGCUCCCGCCGCUUGGUGGGGGCUGGAUAGUUUCGGCGGUUGGGGAUGGACUCGCGGCGUAUCGGCUUGUUGGGUGGGUAGUGGCUUAGCAAGGCUUUGCCCGGUAGCAGGGCUGCGAGGGGGAGCGGCCACAUUGGGACUGGAAUACGGCCCAGACCACAACGGGAGGCAACGGUGGGGAGUAUUAUACAGUGGGAGGAAGCCUGGUGUGACAAAGCCGCGUGCGGGAUGACGUCCUUGGGGUAGUAAACCGCAUUCGCCUGUGACGAGACGUUAGUGACGGUACUGGGUAAAGAAGCACCGGCUAACUACGUG
This 468-nucleotide ribosomal RNA is filed under the name uncultured bacterium. RNAcentral describes it as "partial 16S ribosomal RNA". It matches the Rfam family "Bacterial small subunit ribosomal RNA", at positions 28 to 507 of the family's 1533-position model. The record is from RNAcentral.